This is a long non-coding RNA of Helianthus annuus (common sunflower), 1044 nucleotides long. RefSeq lists it as uncharacterized. The record is from RefSeq and is a predicted model, not a curated record. The transcript is spliced from 4 exons. Lineage: Eukaryota; Viridiplantae; Streptophyta; Magnoliopsida; Asterales; Asteraceae.
AAUCUCUUGCUACCAACCCUUUUCUUCCCCUCUCAAUCAAUUGCAGCCACAUCUCACAUGAGUAAACCCACAAUCAGACGCUUCACUCGCCAACAUUCACAAUCCACAAAAUUCACAAUCACCAAUUCACAAUGGAGCGAAACAACAACUACAAUCGCGGCGGAAAUGACGGUGGUGGCCGGGGUAAUGGCGGCAGAGGAGGCGGUGGCCGCGGUGGUGGUGGUUAUCAUCACGGUGGACGAAACGGAAAUUAUUCGCAACAAUACAGUAAUCAACAGCAAGAACAGUAUCAGGAAAAUUAUGGAGGCGAUAGAGGUAGAGGCAGGGGUCGAGAAUCCAGUGGGAUCGGAAGUGUUCUCGACCGUGGUCAGCAAAGUCAACGGACUCCGGCUAACCCUAGGCAGAAUGUCGAUCGAGUGCCGGAAGUCAACGCGUGAAGUCGUGUAGCGUCUGGUCAACCGGCUGUGGCCCAAACACAAACCCUAACUCAGAACCGGAAUGAUCGUUAGGUUCAAGAAGUCAGUUCAAAAUUAUCAACUCUUAGUGUUACAGGCCACUCAAAAGAUGAUGUAGCAAAUGCUCUUCUACCAAUUAAGUGUCCGGACCGCGGUACACACGAAAUGAGAUCGGUGACAAGCGACUCAAGAUCGCAUUCGAGGAUACCGGGUUUCCCAUGACAGAAAGAGAUCGGCUUGGACUUCGUGGCCUCCUCCCACCUCGUGUCAUAUCAUUUGAGCAACAAUAUGACCGUUUUAUGGAAUCAUUUCGGUCAUUGGAACAUAAUACAGAAGGCCACCGACUAUUCAUGUCGUGGAUGCUUGGAAACAAUUCCGAGUCUGCUGAGGUCAAGAAGUAUGAUGGAAUCCACCAUUGAAGAUCUACGGAAUGAAUAGCUUGAAAAAACAGGAGGCAUUUGAUGAUAACAUGGGCAAUAGUUAUGGUUUUGAUGUUUUUUUAUGUUUUUGGUUAAAUGUUGGUUGGUUAAUGUUUAGUAUUUCAUGUUAGGAUUUUAUUAAUGAUAUGAAUCAGUUCUGGUUAUGUCUU